CGCACGACUCCAUAAACA
RNAcentral lists this transfer RNA (18 nucleotides) under Canis lupus familiaris (dog). Its description in RNAcentral is "partial tRNA-Phe". Lineage: Eukaryota; Metazoa; Chordata; Mammalia; Carnivora; Canidae. The record is from RNAcentral.